This is a long non-coding RNA of Culex quinquefasciatus (southern house mosquito), 678 nucleotides long. RefSeq lists it as uncharacterized. The transcript is spliced from 3 exons. NCBI's taxonomy places the organism in Eukaryota, Metazoa, Arthropoda, Insecta, Diptera, Culicidae. The record is from RefSeq and is a predicted model, not a curated record.
CUGGAAGAAGCUGAUGGAUUUUUUGGACUGUGAGGCGAGGACGAGGAACUUGUGUCCAGGCCGAACGGGGCCGAGCAGGUUGUGAUCGAGGAGAUGAUGGUCAAAAAGCAGCAACGGAACCUCAUGACUGAGAAUAAGCCGAACGAGUAUCCCCGAACAGUGCUUCCUGCUAGUGGCGGGAACGUCCGACGUCCGAUAAGAUCAUUUGCUGGGGCACCCGCAGUGGAGAUUUCGUCCAGGAGUACGAACGACAUCUGGGCGCGGUAAACUCGAUCACCUUCGACGACUAAAACCUGGCGACGCAAAGUCUACAUCUGUUUCACGGCCUGUACGAGUAGCUUAGUGCCUACACCAACGUGCGCUGAUUCUCGAGUUUCUCCUGUUCCUCGCGGAUACAAAUAGUUUCGCGGGUGCGUCCAACGGAGGUCCGCUGUUAAAUCUGGACCAUCGCGAGGACAGCAUCAACAGUAAUGGUUUGCCGGCACCGGUGUCUAUGCUGGCGGAGUUCUUCAAGGACGGGCAACUCCAAUCUGAACAUUCCCGAGCCCGGCCUCAUCAAAGGGACUCUUCCGCGCAGUGAAUUGACCGGUCACGAUUGGUUCAGCAUGAUGCCCACCGACACAAGUCCUAAGGUCUGCAAAGUGCUGCUGCUGUUCCAUCUGCGCCAGAUCAACAACC